AGGUGAACCUGCGGAAGGAUCAUUAAUGAAUAGCAAGAGUCGUGGAUCAACUUCCAGGCUCGACCCUUUCAUUUUCCUACCCUGUGCAUGAUCUCUUAGGUUGAUUCGGGUCGAACCCUGUAUGGCUAGUACACCCGACAGCCGCCUUUUUUAUCCUUCAACUCUCAGUUGAUGUAUGUCAUGAAAACAUAACCAUGAAAAACUUUCAACAACGGAUCUCUUGGCUCUCGCAUCGAUGAAGAACGCAGCGAAAUGUGAUAAGUAAUGUGAAUUGCAGAAUUCAGUGAAUCAUCGAAUCUUUGAACGCAUCUUGCGCUCUCUGGUAUUCCGGAGAGCAUGUCUGUUUGAGUGUCGUGAAAUCUUCAACUUUACAGUUUGUCAUUGUGCAAACUGUCAAAGCUUGGAUCUUGAGCGCUUCCUGCUCUUCGGUCGAGAGACUGAACAGCUCGCUCGGAAAACAUGAGUGUUGACCCGCAAUGGUACGGUCCGACUCGGCGUAAUAGAUUAUUCGCUGAGGAAUCUCUGGCAACGGAGAACCGAACUCGUCGGCUAGACGCUUCGAAACCCCAAUGAUCUCGGUCGCAAGACUGAACAUUUAG
RNAcentral lists this ribosomal RNA (599 nucleotides) under basidiomycete sp. S22849. Its description in RNAcentral is "eukaryotic LSU rRNA". The stretch from base 201 to 354 matches the Rfam family "5.8S ribosomal RNA". The record is from RNAcentral. Lineage: Eukaryota; Fungi; Basidiomycota.